RNAcentral lists this ribosomal RNA (254 nucleotides) under uncultured bacterium. Its description in RNAcentral is "partial 16S ribosomal RNA". It matches the Rfam family "Bacterial small subunit ribosomal RNA", at positions 524 to 776 of the family's 1533-position model. The record is from RNAcentral.
GACGAACCGUGCGAACGUUAUUCGGAAUCACUGGGCUUAAAGCGCGUGUAGGCGGGCCGGCACGUCGGUCGCUGAAAGCCCCCGGCUCAACCGGGGAAGCGGCGCCGAUACGACCGGCCUGGAGGGGGGUAGGGGGCGCCGGAACGGCCGGUGGAGCGGUGAAAUGCGUUGAGAUCGGCCGGAACGCCCGUGGCGAAAGCGGGCGCCUGGACCCCGCCUGACGCUGAGACGCGAAAGCCAGGGGAGCGAACGGG